This 292-nucleotide ribosomal RNA is filed under the name uncultured bacterium. RNAcentral describes it as "partial 16S ribosomal RNA". It matches the Rfam family "Bacterial small subunit ribosomal RNA", at positions 505 to 796 of the family's 1533-position model. The record is from RNAcentral.
GUGCCAGCAGCCGCGGUAAUACGGAGGGAGCUAGCGUUGUUCGGAAUUACUGGGCGUAAAGCGCACGUAGGCGGCGAUUUAAGUCAGAGGUGAAAGCCCGGGGCUCAACCCCGGAACUGCCUUUGAGACUGGAUUGCUUGAAUCCUGGAGAGGUGAGUGGAAUUCCGAGUGUAGAGGUGAAAUUCGUAGAUAUUCGGAAGAACACCAGUGGCGAAGGCGGCUCACUGGACAGGUAUUGACGCUGAGGUGCGAAAGCGUGGGGAGCAAACAGGAUUAGAAACCCGGGUAGUCC